Non-coding RNA from Myodes glareolus (Bank vole), 1018 nucleotides. Lineage: Eukaryota; Metazoa; Chordata; Mammalia; Rodentia; Cricetidae. The record is from RefSeq and is a predicted model, not a curated record.
UAGCUACCAAUGAUUCCAUGAAUCCAGUUGACAUUAUCCAAAAUUCAUUGCAGACAAAUGAAUACCAGUCAUGAUGAAUGAAAUUGCAUAAGAAUUUUUGUAUUUUUGAACUAAAACUUCAUCCCAGCAAUUCACAGCGACUGUGUAGGGUGAAAGCAAACAUGGAGACUAGCUGAGUAGCUAGACAGCAGAUUCCCUUGGAGUUGCUGAGACCGCCAUGACAGUGGAUGAGGGCUAUUCAGAGCUAAUCUUUGCAGCUACGAGAAUGCAUCACCAUCUGGAUGUCUACCCCGCUUAGAAAUCUACAUUCUUAGACCGAGUACAGAAAUUUAGCUAAUUUGAGAAGGGAAGAAUUAGAAAUUUACAGAAAACUCAACCGUCAAAACCACAACCACCAAGGUAAUUGAACAGCAGUGUGUAUUAGAUGGUAGUAAAUGCUUAUCUCUGUUUUCUCUAGUCACAUAGUUGGGAGCAUAAAAGAGACUCAGAGAACUUACACAAAUGAUCAAAAGUCAAAUAAUUAGCAAACAGAGGUGCCAAAGAACAAAUACAGGUGGAUUGGUCACGAAAGCCACAGGCUUUGUUAUGAUCUACUGUCUCCCCAUCUACAGAGACUGUCUUUCAUGUGCUGCUCCCAGGGCAUGAAAGGACCAGGGUGCCAAAGUGUCAUCUGCUCGCUUUCCCUGUACCUAAGAAUUAGGUAUUGUACUUUUGAAUCAUCAUUCGGAAGAGAAUUCCACUGGGAAGUCAGUACCCGUACCCCAGUCACUCUGCUCGGAUGCACUGUCCUCAGAGACGAACCUCCUAUGUGUGGAAAUGACCACGGAGAACAGAUUCUUUCUGUAACGUACAAAAAUCGUGGCCGCAUUUCUUGGAGAAAGUAGAUCAAAGCUAGAGUCUCUCUAUGAUUGUUUCUGCUCAUCUGCUUGUAAGCUUGUUUUCAGCCCCCCUUCCAAGGUUCAAAUACUAUCGAUUUACUUUACUUAUGAUGCUAAUUAUGAAUGGUUUGUCAUUUUAG